Nelumbo nucifera (sacred lotus) is the source of this 1132-nucleotide non-coding RNA. Lineage: Eukaryota; Viridiplantae; Streptophyta; Magnoliopsida; Proteales; Nelumbonaceae. The record is from RefSeq and is a predicted model, not a curated record.
CUCCUCGAAAAGAAGACAAAGGAUCCAAAAUAGCAACUGCACAGACUGAUGACUGCUCCAUUACGAAGAAGACUGGCAAGGGACUGACCCCAAAAAAAUUAAUUUUUAUUGACUAGGUGUCGGAUCCAAACUCAGGUAAGGAUAUGGGUUGUCUGCUUGGGACCUGAACCACCCUUGCCAAAGUGGGUUAUUAGACAAAAAAGGAACUUACCAACGAGCUCUGAACYAAACAGUGAAAAGCAACAUAAUGAGAAGGGGCGGAAGUGAUGAAGAGAGUUCACUAUGAAGACCAGUWGAUCGAACGAGAGGUCCUGAGAUGCUUCAAUUCAGACAUUGUGCUACAUCAAGAAAAGGAUGGCUCAGAAACCGCUUUGAAUCGUCUAAUGGAGUGAUUGUUUUGGAGGUCAAACCGUUGAAGAGAAGAUUUGGCAGAUUUGUAGAAACUCGAAAGAGAGCAAUCAUUCCACUCUUGCAAACCAUUCAAGAGAAGAUUUUGCAGACUUGCAGAUACUCGAAAGAGAGAAAUCGUUCCAUUCUUGCAAACCGUUGAAGAGAGGAUUUACCGUGGAUGAAUGGAUUGAUUUUAUUUAAGUAUUUCUUGGAUGCUAAACCAUUGACAAAUGAUUUUGCAGAGUUGUAGAAUUUGGCACUCGAAAUUCAUCAGCUUCACCUAUAAUGUUUCAUUACAGAGCUAUAAGUGUAAUUUAUUAUGGAAGAAUGGUAAGAAAAUGCUUCAUCAGAGCAUGCCGAAAUUUACUAUUUAAUUCAAGAAGAGAGUCAAGAUGUGUUUGUGCUUGACCAUUGGAUUGAAACCGUUCUAGAAGACUUGUCUAGCAAAUGCUCCUAUAAAUUUAUCAUUAGCCAAGUACAAAGAUUGAGUUCACAACAACAAGUGGAAGAAGACAGAGAGUUGAUGAUUUUCCUACUUGUAGUAUUACGCAUCUAAGGUAACUUUGUCUCUUUUGAGGUGAGAGCUCUUGGUAGAUAGAUUUUCUACUUAUGAGGAUGUUUUUCUGGUUGCAUGUUUUUUCUACUUAUGUGGUUUUGGUUACAUAUUUUUCUAGUUUUAGGUAGCGUAUUUUUUCUGGUUUCACAUAACUACCUCUUUAACCGAGCAUUUCUUCCCUAUGAA